GAUUCAUGAUAACUCCUCGAAUCGCAUGGCCUUGUGCCGGCGAUGGUUCAUUCAAAUUUCUUCCCUAUCAACUUUCGAUGUUUGGGUAUUGGCCAAACAUGGUUGCAACGGGUAACGGAGGGUUAGGGCUCGACCCCGGAGAAGGAGCCUGAGAAACGGCUACUACAUCCAAGGAAGGCAGCAGGCGCGCAAAUUACCCAAUCCCGACACGGGGAGGUAGUGACAAUAAAUACUGAUACAGGGCUCUUUUGGGUCUUGUAAUUGGAAUGAGUACAAUUUAAAUCCCUUAACGAGGAACAAUUGGAGGGCAAGUCUGGUGCCAGCAGCCGCGGUAAUUCCAGCUCCAAUAGCGUAUAUUAAAGUUGUUGUGGUUAAAAAGCUCGUAGUUGAACCUUGGGCCUGGCUGGCCGGUCCGCCUCACCGCGUGUACUGGUCCGGCCGGGCCUUUCCCUCUGUGGAACCCCAUGCCCUUCACUGGGUGUGGCGGGGAACCAGACUUUUAC
This 503-nucleotide ribosomal RNA is filed under the name uncultured fungus. RNAcentral's name for it is "SSU rRNA". It matches the Rfam family "Eukaryotic small subunit ribosomal RNA", at positions 248 to 755 of the family's 1831-position model. The record is from RNAcentral. Lineage: Eukaryota; Fungi.